GGCUGGUCCGAUGGCAGUGGGUUAUCAGAACUUAUUAACAUUAGUGUCACUAAAGUUGGUAUACCCCCCCCCCCCUGCUAAAUUUGACUGGCUUUAA
RNAcentral lists this Y RNA (97 nucleotides) under Cavia aperea (Brazilian guinea pig). RNAcentral describes it as "Y RNA (ENSCAPG00000005101.1)". It matches the Rfam family "Y RNA". Rfam says of the family: Y RNAs are components of the Ro ribonucleoprotein particle (Ro RNP), in association with Ro60 and La proteins. The record is from RNAcentral. Lineage: Eukaryota; Metazoa; Chordata; Mammalia; Rodentia; Caviidae.